UACGUAGGCAGCAAGCGUUGUUCGGAAUUACUGGGCGUAAAGAGUGUGUAGGCGGUGCUCUAAGUUCGGUGUGAAAUCUCCCGGCUUAACUGGGAGGGUGCGCCGGAAACUGGAGUGCUCGAGCGUGGGAGAGGAAAGCGGAAUUCCUGGUGUAGCGGUGAAAUGCGUAGAUAUCAGGAGGAACACCUGCGGUGUAGACGGUUUUCUGGACCAUUGCUGACGCUGAGACACGAAAGCGUGGGUAGCAAACAGG
This 253-nucleotide ribosomal RNA is filed under the name uncultured bacterium. RNAcentral describes it as "partial 16S ribosomal RNA". It matches the Rfam family "Bacterial small subunit ribosomal RNA", at positions 524 to 776 of the family's 1533-position model. The record is from RNAcentral.